UCGAGAAUCUUCGGCAAUGGGCGAAAGCCUGACCGAGCGAUGCCGCGUGCGGGAUGAAGGCCCUCGGGUUGUAAACCGCUGUCAGUUGGGAGGAAGGCUCCGUGAAGAACGGAGUUUGACCUAUCUUCAGAGGAAGUCCGGGCUAAGUUCGUGCCAGCAGCCGCGGUAAUACGAACCGGACAAACGUUAUUCGGAAUUAUUGGGCUUAAAGGGUGCGUAGGCGGCGCGGUAAGUGAGGUGUGAAAGCCCACGGCUCAACCGUGGAACUGCGCUUCAUACUGCCGUGCUUGAGGGAGACAGAGGUAAGCGGAACUGAUGGUGGAGCGGUGAAAUGCGUUGAUAUCAUCAGGAACACCGGUGGCGAAAGCGGCUUACUGGGUCUCUUCUGACGCUGAGGCACGAAAGCUAGGGGAGCGAACGGGAUUAGAUACCCCGGUAGUCCUAGCUGUAAACGAUGAGCACUUGGUUGGGGGCCCUCCAUAGGUUCCGGCCGAAGCGAAAGUG
This 504-nucleotide ribosomal RNA is filed under the name uncultured Planctomycetota bacterium. RNAcentral's name for it is "bacterial SSU rRNA". It matches the Rfam family "Bacterial small subunit ribosomal RNA", at positions 355 to 859 of the family's 1533-position model. Lineage: Bacteria; Pseudomonadati; Planctomycetota. The record is from RNAcentral.